This 253-nucleotide ribosomal RNA is filed under the name uncultured bacterium. Its description in RNAcentral is "partial 16S ribosomal RNA". It matches the Rfam family "Bacterial small subunit ribosomal RNA", at positions 524 to 776 of the family's 1533-position model. RNAcentral also lists the same sequence under 1 other name. The record is from RNAcentral.
GACGAACCGUACGAACGUUAUUCGGAAUUACUGGGCUUAAAGGGUGCGUAGGCGGCGCUGAAAGUUGGGUGUGAAAUCCCUCGGCUCAACCGAGGAACUGCGCUCAAUACUACAGUGCUCGAGGGAGAUAGAGGUAAGCGGAACUUAGGGUGGAGCGGUGAAAUGCGUUGAUAUCCUAAGGAACACCUGUGGCGAAAGCGGCUUACUGGAUCUCUUCUGACGCUGAGGCACGAAAGCUAGGGUAGCGAACGGG